ACUAUUUUGGCAGAAAAGUGUGGUGAUUUUAGAAUUCAUGAAUGUAUAAUUUGAUAUUAUAUGAAUAGUA
This 70-nucleotide transfer RNA is filed under the name Obeidia gigantearia. Its description in RNAcentral is "tRNA-Leu". Lineage: Eukaryota; Metazoa; Arthropoda; Insecta; Lepidoptera; Geometridae. The record is from RNAcentral.